This 48-nucleotide ribosomal RNA is filed under the name Gambierdiscus carolinianus. RNAcentral describes it as "partial large subunit ribosomal RNA". The record is from RNAcentral. Lineage: Eukaryota; Dinophyceae; Gonyaulacales; Pyrocystaceae.
CUUCAUGUGAAUGCAAGCACAGAGACCCAUUGAAUUUAAGCAUAUAAG